CCUUAGAGUUUGAUCCUGGCUCAGGAUGAACGCUAGCUACAGGCUUAACACAUGCAAGUCGAGGGGCAUCAGGAAGAAAGCUUGCUUUCUUUGCUGGCGACCGGCGCACGGGUGAGUAACACGUAUCCAACCUGCCCUUUACUCGGGGAUAGCCUUUCGAAAGAAAGAUUAAUACCCGAUAGCAUAAUGAUUCCGCAUGGUUUCAUUAUUAAAGGAUUCCGGUAAAGGAUGGGGAUGCGUUCCAUUAGGUUGUUGGUGAGGUAACGGCCCACCAAGCCUUCGAUGGAUAGGGGUUCUGAGAGGAAGGUCCCCCACAUUGGAACUGAGACACGGUCCAAACUCCUACGGGAGGCAGCAGUGAGGAAUAUUGGUCAAUGGGCGCUAGCCUGAACCAGCCAAGUAGCGUGAAGGAUGAAGGCUCUAUGGGUCGUAAACUUCUUUUAUAUAAGAAUAAAGUGCAGUAUGUAUACUGUUUUGUAUGUAUUAUAUGAAUAAGGAUCGGCUAACUCCGUGCCAGCAGCCGCGGUAAUACGGAGGAUCCGAGCGUUAUCCGGAUUUAUUGGGUUUAAAGGGAGCGUAGGUGGACUGGUAAGUCAGUUGUGAAAGUUUGCGGCUCAACCGUAAAAUUGCAGUUGAUACUGUCAGCCUUGAGUACAGUAGAGGUGGGCGGAAUUCGUGGUGUAGCGGUGAAAUGCUUAGAUAUCACGAAGAACUCCGAUUGCGAAGGCAGCUCACUGGACUGCAACUGACACUGAUGCUCGAAAGUGUGGGUAUCAAACAGGAUUAGAUACCCUGGUAGUCCACACAGUAAACGAUGAAUACUCGCUGUUUGCGAUAUACAGUAAGCGGCCAAGCGAAAGCAUUAAGUAUUCCACCUGGGGAGUACGCCGGCAACGGUGAAACUCAAAGGAAUUGACG
This 918-nucleotide ribosomal RNA is filed under the name uncultured bacterium. Its description in RNAcentral is "bacterial SSU rRNA". It matches the Rfam family "Bacterial small subunit ribosomal RNA", at positions 1 to 915 of the family's 1533-position model. The record is from RNAcentral.